RNAcentral lists this antisense RNA (88 nucleotides) under Serratia fonticola. RNAcentral describes it as "ArsR-gov region gene B". It matches the Rfam family "ArsR-gov region gene B". Rfam says of the family: arsR-gov region gene B is transcribed opposite of dinQ (translates into a toxic single transmembrane peptide) with 30 complimentary nucleotides. Lineage: Bacteria; Pseudomonadati; Pseudomonadota; Gammaproteobacteria; Enterobacterales; Yersiniaceae. The record is from Rfam by way of RNAcentral.
UUAGUUAAAGACCGUUCCAUUCCGGCUAGAGGCAUUAGUUUCAUGCUAGGAAGUGUAAAAAACCGACCUCACCCGUCGGUUUUUUUAC